This 1165-nucleotide ribosomal RNA is filed under the name uncultured organism. Its description in RNAcentral is "bacterial SSU rRNA". It matches the Rfam family "Bacterial small subunit ribosomal RNA", at positions 92 to 1294 of the family's 1533-position model. The record is from RNAcentral.
UCAGCGGCAGACGGGUGAGUAACACGUGGGUGACCUGCCCUUGAGACGGGGAUAACGGAUGGAAACAUGCGCUAAUACCCGAUAGGGUCCCAGGGUCAAAGCUGGGAUGAAAGCUUUGGUGCUCAAUGAGGGGCUCGCGGACCAUCAGCUAGUUGGUGAGGUAACGGCUCACCAAGGCGAAGACGGGUAGGGGGUGUGAGAGCACGGUCCCCCAAAAUGGGACUGAGACACGGCCCAUACUCCUACGGGAGGCAGCAGCAGGGAAUAUUGCACAAUGGACGGAAGUCUGAUGCAGCGACGCUGCGUGGAUGAUGAAGGCCUUCGGGUUGUAAAAUCCUUUACGGGGUGACGAGGAAGGACGGUAGCCCCGGAACAAGCGUCGGCUAACUACGUGCCAGCAGCCGCGGUAAGACGUAGGACGCAAGCGUUAUCCGGAUUUACUGGGCGUAAAGCGUCUGUAGGCGGAUGAGUAAGUUGGGCGUGACAGCUCCGGGCUCAACCCGGAGAGGCCGUUCAAUACUGCUGAUCUAGAGGAGGCCAGAGGGGAGUGGAAUUCCUGGAGUAGCGGUAAAAUGCGCAGAUAUCAGGAAGAACACCAGUGGCGAAGGCGGCUCCCUAGGGCCCACCUGACGCUGAGAGACGACAGCUAGGGGAGCGAACAGGAUUAGAGACCCUGGUAGUCCUAGCCGUAAACGAUGGAUGCUAGGUGUAGGGCCGUAGAGGCUCUGUGCCGGAGCGAACGCGAUAAGCAUCCCGCCUGGGGAGUACGGCCGCAAGGCUAAAACUCAUACGAAUUGACGGGGACCCGCACAAGCAGCGGAGCGUGUGGUUUAAUUCGAUGCUACACGAAGAACCUUACCUGGGUUUGACAUGGGCGUGGUAGUGAAGCGAAAGCGGAGCGACCCUUCGGGGAGCGUCCACAGGUGCUGCAUGGCUGUCGUCAGCUCGUGCCGUGAGGUGUCGGGUUAAGUCCCGUAACGAGCGCAACCCUUGCCCUUAGUUACAAGUGUAUAAGGGGACUGCCGGCGGGAAGCCGGAGGAAGGUGGGGAUGACGUCAAGUCAGCAUGGCCCUUAUAUCCAGGGCUACACACACGCUACAAUGGCCGGUACAGAGGGCAGCGAAGCCGCGAGGUGGAGCGAAUCCCAGAAAGCCGGUCGUAGUUC